GACGUAGGGGGCAAGCGUUGUCCGGAUUUACUGGGCGUAAAGAGCGCGUAGGCGGUCUGUUAAGUGUAGAGUGAAAGCUCCGGGCUCAACCCGGAAACCGCUCUGCAUACUGGCAGACUUGAGGGACGCAGAGGUCUGUGGAAUUCCUGGUGUAACGGUGAAAUGUGUUGAUAUCAGGAGGAACACCCAUGGCGAAGGCAGCAGACUGGGCGUUUCCUGACGCUGAGGCGCGAAAGCGUGGGUAGCAAACAGG
Molecule: ribosomal RNA, 253 nt
Filed under: uncultured bacterium
Lineage: Bacteria
Description: partial 16S ribosomal RNA
Rfam family: Bacterial small subunit ribosomal RNA
Source: RNAcentral